Molecule: small RNA, 2416 nt
Filed under: Pongo abelii (Sumatran orangutan)
Lineage: Eukaryota; Metazoa; Chordata; Mammalia; Primates; Hominidae
Description: retained intron
Source: RNAcentral
CUUCUAUCAACCCUGCUUAGGAUGAGAACAAGUUGAGCAGUGCCAACGGCCAUGAAGAACGUAGCAAAAAGAGGAAAAAAAGCAAGAGCAGAAGUCGUAGUCAUGAACGAAAGAGAAGCAAAAGUAAGGAACGGAAACGAAGUAGAGAUAGAGAAAGGAAAAAGAGCAAAAGCCGUGAAAGAAAACGAAGUAGAAGCAAAGAGAGGCGACGGAGCCGCUCAAGAAGUCGAGAUCGAAGAUUUAGAGGCCGCUACAGAAGUCCUUACUCCGGACCAAAAUUUAACAGUGCCAUCCGAGGAAAGAUUGGGUUGCCUCAUAGCAUCAAAUUAAGCAGACGACGUUCCCGAAGCAAAAGUCCAUUCAGAAAAGACAAGAGCCCUGUGAGGGAACCUAUUGAUAAUUUAACUCCUGAGGAAAGAGAUGCAAGGACAGUCUUCUGUAUGCAGCUGGCGGCAAGAAUUCGACCAAGGGAUUUGGAAGAGUUUUUCUCUACAGUAGGAAAGGUUCGAGAUGUGAGGAUGAUUUCUGACAGAAAUUCAAGACGUUCCAAGGGAAUUGCUUAUGUGGAGUUCGUCGAUGUUAGCUCAGUGCCUCUAGCAAUAGGAUUAACUGGCCAACGAGUUUUAGGCGUGCCAAUCAUAGUACAGGCAUCACAGGCAGAAAAAAACAGAGCUGCAGCAAUGGCAAACAAUUUACAAAAGGGAAGUGCUGGACCUAUGAGGCUUUAUGUGGGCUCAUUACACUUCAACAUAACUGAAGAUAUGCUUCGUGGGAUCUUUGAGCCUUUUGGAAGGAUUGAAAGUAUCCAGCUGAUGAUGGACAGUGAAACUGGUCGAUCCAAGGGAUAUGGAUUUAUUACAUUUUCUGACUCAGAAUGUGCCAAAAAGGCUUUGGAACAACUUAAUGGAUUUGAACUAGCAGGAAGACCAAUGAAAGUUGGUCAUGUUACUGAACGUACUGAUGCUUCGAGUGCUAGUUCAUUUUUGGACAGUGAUGAACUGGAAAGGACUGGAAUUGAUUUGGGAACAACUGGUCGUCUUCAGUUAAUGGCAAGACUUGCAGAGGGUACAGGUUUGCAGAUUCCACCAGCAGCACAGCAAGCUCUACAGAUGAGUGGCUCUUUGGCAUUUGGUGCUGUGGCAGAUUUGCAAACAAGACUUUCCCAGCAGACUGAAGCUUCAGCUUUAGCUGCAGCUGCCUCUGUUCAGCCACUUGCAACACAGUGUUUCCAACUCUCUAACAUGUUUAACCCUCAAACAGAAGAAGAAGUUGGAUGGGAUACCGAGAUUAAGGAUGAUGUGAUUGAAGAAUGUAAUAAACAUGGAGGAGUUAUUCAUAUUUAUGUUGACAAAAAUUCAGCUCAGGGCAAUGUGUAUGUGAAGUGCCCAUCAAUUGCUGCAGCUAUUGCUGCUGUCAAUGCAUUGCAUGGCAGGUGGUUUGCUGGUAAAAUGAUAACAGCAGCAUAUGUACCUCUUCCAACUUACCACAACCUGUUUCCUGAUUCUAUGACAGCAACACAACUACUGGUUCCAAGUAGACGAUGAAGGAAGAUACAGUCCCUUAUGUAUAUAGCUUUUUUCUUUCUUGAGAAUUCAUCUUGAGUUAUCUUUUAUUUAGAUAAAAAUAAAGAGGCAAGGAUCUACUGUCAUUUGUAUACAAUUUCCUGUUACCUUGAAAAAAUAAAAAUGUUAACAGGAAUGCAGUGUGCUCAUUCUCCCUAAAUAGUAAAUCCCACUGUAUGCAAAACUGUUCUCUUGUUCUGCCUUUUAAAAUGUUCAUGUAGAAAAUUAAUGAACUAUAGGAAUAGCUCUAGGAGAACAAAUGUGCUUUCUGUAAAAAGGCAGACCAGGGAUGUAAUGUUUUUAAUGUUUCAGAAGCCUAACUUUUUACACAGCGGUUACAUUUCACAUUUCACUAAUGUUGAUAUUUGGCUGAUGGUUGAGCAGGUUUCUGAAAUACACAUUUAGUGUAUGGAAAUACAAGACAGCUAAAGAGCUGUUUGGUUAGCAUCUCAUCUUGCAUUCUGAUCAAUUGGCAAGAAAGGGAGAUUUCAAAAUUAUAAUAUUUCUUGAUGGUAUCUUUUCAAUUAAUGUAUCUGUAAAAGUUUCUUUGUAAAUACUAUGUGUUCUGGUGUGUCUUAAAAUUCCAAACAAAAUGAUCCCUGCAUUUCCUGAAGAUGUUUAAACCUGAGAGUCUGGUAGGCAAAGCAGUCUGAAAGAAAUAGGAAAUGCAGAAAUAGGUUUUGUCUGGUUGCAUAUAAUCUUUGCUCUUUUUAAGCUCUGUGAGCUCUGAAAUAUAUUUUUGGGUUACUUCAGUGUGUUUGACAAGACAGCUUGAUAUUUCUAUCAAACAAAUGACUUUCAUAUUGCAACAAUCUUUGUAAGAACCACUCAAAUAAAAGUCUCUUAAAAAGGCC